AUUGAACGCUGGCGGCAUGCUUUACACAUGCAAGUCGAACGGCAGCGCGGGCUUCGUCCUGGCGGCGAGUGGCGAACGGGUGAGUAAUGCAUCGGAACGUGCCCAGUAGUGGGGGAUAGCCCGGCGAAAGCCGGAUUAAUACCGCAUACGACCUGAGGGUGAAAGCGGGGGACCGAAAGGCCUCGCGCUAUUGGAGCGGCCGAUGUCGGAUUAGCUAGUUGGUGGGGUAAAGGCUUACCAAGGCGACGAUCCGUAGCUGGUCUGAGAGGACGACCAGCCACACUGGGACUGAGACACGGCCCAGGCUCCUACGGGAGGCAGCAGUGGGGAAUUUUGGACAAUGGGGGCAACCCUGAUCCAGCCAUGCCGCGUGCGGGAAGAAGGCCUUCGGGUUGUAAACCGCUUUUGUUCGGGAAGAAAUCCUCUGGGCUAAUACCCCGGGGGGAUGACGGUACCGGAAGAAUAAGCACCGGCUAACUACGUG
RNAcentral lists this ribosomal RNA (484 nucleotides) under uncultured bacterium. RNAcentral's name for it is "partial 16S ribosomal RNA". It matches the Rfam family "Bacterial small subunit ribosomal RNA", at positions 28 to 507 of the family's 1533-position model. The record is from RNAcentral.